This 1554-nucleotide ribosomal RNA is filed under the name Salmonella enterica. Its description in RNAcentral is "bacterial SSU rRNA". It matches the Rfam family "Bacterial small subunit ribosomal RNA". The record is from RNAcentral. Lineage: Bacteria; Pseudomonadati; Pseudomonadota; Gammaproteobacteria; Enterobacterales; Enterobacteriaceae.
AAAUUGAAGAGUUUGAUCAUGGCUCAGAUUGAACGCUGGCGGCAGGCCUAACACAUGCAAGUCGAACGGUAACAGGAAGCAGCUUGCUGCUUCGCUGACGAGUGGCGGACGGGUGAGUAAUGUCUGGGAAACUGCCUGAUGGAGGGGGAUAACUACUGGAAACGGUGGCUAAUACCGCAUAACGUCGCAAGACCAAAGAGGGGGACCUUCGGGCCUCUUGCCAUCAGAUGUGCCCAGAUGGGAUUAGCUUGUUGGUGAGGUAACGGCUCACCAAGGCGACGAUCCCUAGCUGGUCUGAGAGGAUGACCAGCCACACUGGAACUGAGACACGGUCCAGACUCCUACGGGAGGCAGCAGUGGGGAAUAUUGCACAAUGGGCGCAAGCCUGAUGCAGCCAUGCCGCGUGUAUGAAGAAGGCCUUCGGGUUGUAAAGUACUUUCAGCGGGGAGGAAGGUGUUGCGGUUAAUAACCGCAGCAAUUGACGUUACCCGCAGAAGAAGCACCGGCUAACUCCGUGCCAGCAGCCGCGGUAAUACGGAGGGUGCAAGCGUUAAUCGGAAUUACUGGGCGUAAAGCGCACGCAGGCGGUCUGUCAAGUCGGAUGUGAAAUCCCCGGGCUCAACCUGGGAACUGCAUUCGAAACUGGCAGGCUUGAGUCUUGUAGAGGGGGGUAGAAUUCCAGGUGUAGCGGUGAAAUGCGUAGAGAUCUGGAGGAAUACCGGUGGCGAAGGCGGCCCCCUGGACAAAGACUGACGCUCAGGUGCGAAAGCGUGGGGAGCAAACAGGAUUAGAUACCCUGGUAGUCCACGCCGUAAACGAUGUCUACUUGGAGGUUGUGCCCUUGAGGCGUGGCUUCCGGAGCUAACGCGUUAAGUAGACCGCCUGGGGAGUACGGCCGCAAGGUUAAAACUCAAAUGAAUUGACGGGGGCCCGCACAAGCGGUGGAGCAUGUGGUUUAAUUCGAUGCAACGCGAAGAACCUUACCUGGUCUUGACAUCCACGGAAGUUUUCAGAGAUGAGAAUGUGCCUUCGGGAACCGUGAGACAGGUGCUGCAUGGCUGUCGUCAGCUCGUGUUGUGAAAUGUUGGGUUAAGUCCCGCAACGAGCGCAACCCUUAUCCUUUGUUGCCAGCGAUUAGGUCGGGAACUCAAAGGAGACUGCCAGUGAUAAACUGGAGGAAGGUGGGGAUGACGUCAAGUCAUCAUGGCCCUUACGACCAGGGCUACACACGUGCUACAAUGGCGCAUACAAAGAGAAGCGACCUCGCGAGAGCAAGCGGACCUCAUAAAGUGCGUCGUAGUCCGGAUUGGAGUCUGCAACUCGACUCCAUGAAGUCGGAAUCGCUAGUAAUCGUGGAUCAGAAUGCCACGGUGAAUACGUUCCCGGGCCUUGUACACACCGCCCGUCACACCAUGGGAGUGGGUUGCAAAAGAAGUAGGUAGCUUAACCUUCGGGAGGGCGCUUACCACUUUGUGAUUCAUGACUGGGGUGAAGUCGUAACAAGGUAACCGUAGGGGAACCUGCGGUUGGAUCACCUCCUUACCUGAAAGAAGC